GUACGGGGGGGGUAAGCGUUGUUCGGAAUUACUGGGCGUAAAGGGCUCGUAGGCGGCCAACUAAGUCGGACGUGAAAUCCCUCAGCUUAACUGGGGAACUGCGUCCGAUACUGGGAAGGCUUGAAUCCGGGAGAGGGAUGUGGAAUUCCAGGUGUAGCGGUGAAAUGCGUAGAUAUCUGGAGGAACACCGGUGGCGAAGGCGACAUCCUGGACCGGUAUUGACGCUGAGGCGCGAAAGCCAGGGGAGCAAACGGG
This 255-nucleotide ribosomal RNA is filed under the name uncultured bacterium. RNAcentral describes it as "partial 16S ribosomal RNA". It matches the Rfam family "Bacterial small subunit ribosomal RNA", at positions 523 to 776 of the family's 1533-position model. The record is from RNAcentral.